Molecule: long non-coding RNA, 1414 nt
Filed under: Pongo abelii (Sumatran orangutan)
Lineage: Eukaryota; Metazoa; Chordata; Mammalia; Primates; Hominidae
Description: lincRNA
Source: RNAcentral
UUAUUGCUUUCUGCCACUAGGCUGAGAGUGACCACAUAUACAGAAAUAGAAAACUAUUAAUAGAAAAAUAUAUUGCAAACAUCUAAUCCUCAAACCCCAUUCAAGUUUUGCCAACUACCCUCCAUCCUAUCAAAUAUUCCUUAUACCAAAAAGAUCCAGUUCAAAAAUAAGUGUUGCAUUUAUUUGUUAACCUCUUUUGAUCUGGAAUAGCUCCUCACACUGUCUUUCAUGACUUUAAUGCUUUGGGAGACUACAGUAUUCUUUAUAUCUGAAAAAUAAAGGAAUUUCUACUUUCUGGCUUAAUAUAAUAAGAUGUUUAGGCUCAUCUGAAAUUUUCCUGCCGUCGCCUUGGAAUCAACCAUUUCUUCAGGGAGUCCUAGUUUCUUUUAGAGGUCAAGUCUGCAUUCUGGGAUAAAGGGUUGACACAAUCUUGAAUCAGUGCCUAGGGAGUUCACAAGUCCAGAAAGGGGAUAGAGUAUAGAGAAGAUAAAGCAGAUGUCCGUACAAAGACUUGUAUGCGAAUGAUCAUAGCAACUUUAUUUGUAAUAGCCAAAACCUGAAAGCAACCCAAAUGUAUGUUAAGAAGCAAAUGGAUACAUAAAUUGUGGCAUAUGCAUACAAUGGGAUACCCAGCAAUAAAAAGGCUAAAAAGGCAUGAACUAUUCAAGUAUGCAACAAAAGAUAAGAAAGCUGAAGAAGAGUAAAAAUAAAGAAACUUCUACAAAGCCACACAUGUAAAAUAUAUUUCUGGCAACAGAGGAGAAGAAUGAUAGGAAGAGAAUUGUACUGGAAUAGUAUAAUCCAUUGGAAUGUUGUUGUAAUGAUGGCAACAGUGGAGAAGAAUGAUAGGAAGAGAAUCAUACUGGAAUAGUAUAAUCCAUUGGAAGGUUGUUGUAAUGAAGGCAAGAAGAAAAAUGACCUUGAAGGCAAGAAGAAAAAUCAUAAUGAAGGAAAGGAGAGAUGAGUUUACCAAAUACAAUCUCAGAAUUGUUCUGUAAAUUUCAUUUCUGCUUUAGCAGCCAUAAGGAGCUCCAUUUAUUACAGUAGGAACAGAGGCAACAGUUACAUGGGUAGAUGGCAGGGAUAGAAAAGAUUUUAGUUUUGAUACAUUGAAUUUGACAUGCUUUUUGAAAAUCUUCAGAUGGUGAUGUACAAACUACUGCAGGAACAUACGAGGAAAGAUGAGAGAAUCCACAGACCCUUUGAAGGAAGCAGAUUGCUCCUGCAGGGCCUAGGAGACAGCCCAAACACUGGGUCCUUAGGGAGAGGUGCCAGAGGAGCUGGAAAAAGGCCACAGGGAGAAGGAAGGCUCCAGCUGAACUUGAUUGACCCAUCAUUUGGAUGUCCCAAAACCACAGAUGCAAUAGAAGAAUGGAACAAAUUUAUACAUUUUGUCAAUGAAAACUUUAUCUUC